RNAcentral lists this ribosomal RNA (424 nucleotides) under uncultured beta proteobacterium. RNAcentral's name for it is "bacterial SSU rRNA". It matches the Rfam family "Bacterial small subunit ribosomal RNA", at positions 202 to 622 of the family's 1533-position model. Lineage: Bacteria; Pseudomonadati; Pseudomonadota; Betaproteobacteria. The record is from RNAcentral.
AAAGACCUUAUGCUUUUGGAGCGGCCGAUGUCUGAUUAGCUAGUUGGUAAGGUAAUGGCUUACCAAGGCAACGAUCAGUAGUUGGUCUGAGAGGACGGCCAGCCACACUGGGACUGAGACACGGCCCAGACUCCUACGGGAGGCAGCAGUGGGGAAUUUUGGACAAUGGGCGCAAGCCUGAUCCAGCAAUGCCGCGUGAGUGAAGAAGGCCUUCGGGUUGUAAAGCUCUUUCAGUUGAGAAGAAAAGGUUAUGACUAAUAAUCAUAACUCAUGACGGUAUCGACAGAAGAAGCACCGGCUAACUACGUGCCAGCAGCCGCGGUAAUACGUAGGGUGCGAGCGUUAAUCGGAAUUACUGGGCGUAAAGGGUGCGCAGGCGGUUCUGUAAGUCAGAUGUGAAAUCCCCGGGCUUAACCUGGGAACU